GAUGAAGAACGCAGCGAAAUGCGAUAAGUAGUGUGAAUUGCAGAAUUCAGUGAAUCAUCGAAUCUUUGAACGCACAUUGCGCCCUUUGGUAUUCCUUAGGGCAUGCCUGUUCGAGCGUCAUUUAAACCUUCAAGCUCAGCUUGGUGAUGGGUGACUGUCCUCCCCUCGCGGGGGGACUCGCCUCAAAAACAUUGGCGGCCGGUACAUUGGCUUCGAGCGCAGCAGAAACGCGGUCUCGAGUCCGGUGGAUCGGCUCCCAUAAGUCUAUUCUUUUAUUUUGACCUCGGAUCAGGUAGGGAUACCCGCUGAACUUAAGCAUAUCAAUAAGCGAGGA
This 334-nucleotide unclassified non-coding RNA is filed under the name soil metagenome. RNAcentral describes it as "partial contains 5.8S ribosomal RNA, internal transcribed spacer 2, and large subunit ribosomal RNA". The stretch from base 1 to 120 matches the Rfam family "5.8S ribosomal RNA", at positions 35 to 154 of the family's 154-position model. The record is from RNAcentral.